This 631-nucleotide ribosomal RNA is filed under the name Hordeum secalinum. Lineage: Eukaryota; Viridiplantae; Streptophyta; Magnoliopsida; Poales; Poaceae. The record is from RNAcentral.
UUUUUCAUUAUUAUUUUUGCUGCACGCAAGAAACAUGACGCACGUGCGCGGUAAAAAUCUUCAACGGGGUUCCCCCUGUUGAAUUCGGAUGUAACUUUUCGAGUAGAUGAUUUUUCAUAUAAAAAACUUUUUAAUCCGAGUCCGUAUGCAAAAGUUUAGCCCAUUUUACGAAAUCCCAGAGAGAUUUUGCAAAUAAAGUCAAAACUCAUAUUUGUAAAUUUUCCAUACAACUAGACCACAUAUCACAUGGGAAACUUAUUUUUUUGACAUUUCCAUCAUCUUCUUUUAUUUUUUUGAAAACUGAAAAGGCGGUCCACGGGGGGGGGGGUGAAAACCGUGGUAAACGUGCGAACGGUUGUUGAGGUGGAGAGAAAGUAGUAUGGUGAAGUAUCGAGCGGUGGCAAGGAAUGUGCGGUAGAGUUUGUAGUGGAGCUUGGAGGGGGGAGCAUAAGGGACGAAGGGAUAAGAAACAUGUCGGAUGCGAUCAUACCAGCACUAAAGCACCGGGAUCCCAUCAGAACUCCGAAGUUAAACGUGCUUGGGCGAGAGUAGUACUAGGAAGUUAAGCGUGCUUGGGCGAGAGUAGUACUAGGAUGGGUGACCUCCUGGGAAGUCCUCGUGUUGCAUUCCC